This 74-nucleotide transfer RNA is filed under the name Phycisphaerae bacterium. Its description in RNAcentral is "tRNA-Val". It matches the Rfam family "tRNA". From Rfam's summary of the family: Transfer RNA (tRNA) molecules are approximately 80 nucleotides in length. Their secondary structure includes four short double-helical elements and three loops (D, anti-codon, and T loops). Further hydrogen bonds mediate the characteristic L-shaped molecular structure. tRNAs have two regions of fundamental functional importance: the anti-codon, which is responsible for specific mRNA codon recognition, and the 3' end, to which the tRNAs corresponding amino acid is attached (by aminoacyl-tRNA synthetases). tRNAs cope with the degeneracy of the genetic code in two manners: having more than one tRNA (with a specific anti-codon) for a particular amino acid; and 'wobble' base-pairing, i.e. permitting non-standard base-pairing at the 3rd anti-codon position. The record is from RNAcentral. RNAcentral also lists the same sequence under 2 other names. Lineage: Bacteria; Pseudomonadati; Planctomycetota; Phycisphaerae.
GGGCCGUUAGCUCAGUUGGCCAGAGCGCUUCCCUUACAAGGAAGAGGUCACAGGUUCGAGCCCUGUACGGCCCA